GGGACCUGGGGGGACAUGGGGGCUUUAGGGGCCAUGGGGACCUUGGAGGGUGUUGGGGACCUAAGGGACAUGGGGACCUUGAGGGACAUUGGCGCCUUGAAGGGACAUUGGGGCCUUGGGAGGUGUUGGGGACUUCGGGGGGGUGUUGGGGACAGGGAUAGGGGGGCGUCGGGGGACAUGGGGACCCCAGGGGGUGUUGGGGACCUGGGGGGACACCGGGGCCUUGAAGGGACAUCGGGACCUUAGGGGACACGGGGACCUGGGGGGACACCGGGACCCCAGAGGGACCCCAGAGUAGGGGAUAUGGGGCGGGUGACGCGGGGACAUUGUGGGGGGGGGGGGGGGGGGGGGGGGGGGGACGGGGGGGGGGGGGGGCCGGGGGGGGGGGGCCCUGGUGACACCCCCGGUGCCACCCCCGGCGCCAGCACCCGCCCGGGGCUGUCGUCCACCGAGGCCACGCGGGAGCUGGCAAAGCUCUGGCACAGCCUCAGCCCCGCCGAACGCCAGCCCUACUGCCUCCACGCGCGGCGCUUCAGCCAGCAGCACAACCGCACGCUGCAUCUGGACAGGGACAACGGGGACAAGAACGGGGACAACAAUGGGGACAACGGGGACCUGCCCCCCCCCCGCGCCCCCCCAAGCCCUGCUGGCCGCCCACGCCGGGGUGCGGGGGGGGGGGCCUCCGUCCGCCUGAUGUCCCCGUCCCUGUCCCCAAAACCCCCCCGGUGACCCGCACCCCGUCCCCGUAACCCCCGUCCCCAUAACCCCCGUCCCCGUAACCCCUGUCCCUGUCCCCUCCCUGGGGACAGUCCCGUUCCCGGAGGUUUUUACCCCAUUAUUUAUUGUCCUGGGCAGAGCUGGCUCUGUCCAGGACGGGGACAGGGACAGCUGGGGGCAGUUUGGGGACAAUUUGGGGACUUUUGGGGACCCCUCGGGGACUUUUUGGGGACCCUUCGGGGACAUUUUGGGGACCCUUUGGGCACUUUUGGGGGACACUUUGGGGCCUUUUUAGAGCCCCUUUGGGGCCUUUUAGGGGACAAUUUGGGGCCUUUUGGGGCCCCUUUGGGGCCGUUGGCGACACUUUGGGGCCUUUUGGGGGACUGUUUGGGGACUUUUAGGAGCCCUUUUGGGGCCUUUUUAUGGUGUUUUUGGGGACCCUUUGGGCCCUUUUUGGGGGCCCUUUGGGGCCCUUUUUGGGGACCCUUCGGGGCCUCUUUUGCGACCCUUCGGGGCCUUUUUAGGGACCUUUCGGGCCCUUUUUAGGGACACUUUGGGGCCUUUUGGGGAUACUUUGGCCCUUGCCGGCCUAGUCGCCGCCAUCUUGUCAUCAGGCAAUAAAACCCUUUUGGUGUCUAUCUGUG
This 1361-nucleotide long non-coding RNA is filed under the name Anas platyrhynchos platyrhynchos (common mallard). RNAcentral describes it as "lncRNA (ENSAPLG00000022766.1)". Lineage: Eukaryota; Metazoa; Chordata; Aves; Anseriformes; Anatidae. The record is from RNAcentral.